RNAcentral lists this ribosomal RNA (497 nucleotides) under uncultured bacterium. RNAcentral describes it as "partial 16S ribosomal RNA". It matches the Rfam family "Bacterial small subunit ribosomal RNA", at positions 28 to 507 of the family's 1533-position model. The record is from RNAcentral.
GAGGAAAGAGGGAGGCGUGCCUAAUACAUGCAAGUCGAGCGAACAGAUGAGGAGCUUGCUCCUCUGACGUUAGCGGCGGACGGGUGAGUAACACGUGGAUAACCUACCUAUAAGACUGGGAUAACUUCGGGAAACCGGAGCUAAUACCGGAUAAUAUAUUGAACCGCAUGGUUCAAUAGUGAAAGACGGUUUUGCUGUCACUUAUAGAUGGAUCCGCGCCGCAUUAGCUAGUUGGUAAGGUAACGGCUUACCAAGGCAACGAUGCGUAGCCGACCUGAGAGGGUGAUCGGCCACACUGGAACUGAGACACGGUCCAGACUCCUACGGGAGGCAGCAGUAGGGAAUCUUCCGCAAAGGGCGAAAGCCUGACGGAGCAACGCCGCGUGAGUGAUGAAGGUCUUCGGAUCGUAAAACUCUGUUAUUAGGGAAGAACAAAUGUGUAAGUAACUAUGCACGUCUUGACGGUACCUAAUCAGAAAGCCACGGCUAACUACGUG